UAUACAUCAAAGAUGUUCACUUUGUUAUCUUCCUCCUCCUGCAGCUUCCUGUCUUAAUGUGUAAUAGUCAUAAUGAAGCCUGCCUUCAGCAAAGCAGCACCAGUGUGCACAAGGAUGGAGACAUGUUUUUGAGACAGUGACUUAUUGUGCUGACUAUGCUAGCAGCAAACUCCAGGACUCAAGAAUUCCCUCCACUUCAGCCUCUUGAGGAGCCUGCAUUACAGAUUGCCUGAAUAAACAUAUGAAAAAAUGUUCAACAUCACUGGUCAAGCAAGAGAUGCAAAUGAAAACAAUGCUGAGAUUCCACCUCACUCCAGAAAGAAUGGCUGCUAUCAUGAAAUCAACCAAC
This 349-nucleotide long non-coding RNA is filed under the name Heterocephalus glaber (naked mole-rat). Its description in RNAcentral is "lncRNA (ENSHGLG00100034878.1)". The record is from RNAcentral. Lineage: Eukaryota; Metazoa; Chordata; Mammalia; Rodentia; Bathyergidae.